RNAcentral lists this ribosomal RNA (305 nucleotides) under uncultured bacterium. RNAcentral's name for it is "bacterial SSU rRNA". It matches the Rfam family "Bacterial small subunit ribosomal RNA", at positions 333 to 653 of the family's 1533-position model. The record is from RNAcentral.
CGCUGCCUACGGGGGGCAGCAGUGGGGAAUAUUGCACAAUGGGGGGAACCCUGAUGCAGCGACGCCGCGUGAGUGAAGAAGUAUUUCGGUACGUAAAGCUCUAUCAGCAGGGAAGAAAAAAGGACGGUACCUGAGUAAGAAGCCCCGGCUAACUACGUGCCAGCAGCCGCGGUAAUACGUAGGGAGCGAGCGUUGUCCGGAUUUACUGGGUGUAAAGGGUGCGUAGGCGGCUUGGCAAGUCAGUAGUGAAAUCCAUGGGCUUAACCCAUGAACUGCUAUUGAAACUGUCGAGCUUGAGUGAAGUA